ACUAGCGGCGCGCUAGGGUUAGCGCCACCACCAGCCACACCCGCCGCUCGGCUCCUCGCCGGACACCCAUGUGCUCUCGUGCGCAGCUGCCACCUCGCCGCCUCCAGCCGUCGCUGUCCUUGGCCCAUCUCCAACACCGUCAACGCACCACCGGCCGCCUCCCUCGCCACGUCCCUGCUGCAAGCUCCCUGAUGCCUCUCCACGUCGGUCUUCCUCCUCCUCUCCCACCUAGCUGACCUCUGCCGCAUCGCCUACUCCCACCGGCUGCGCAGCUCCUCGUUGCCAUGGACGGGUUCAACUCCAAUCCCAAUGUUCUUCAUCUUCAAGGAAAUUUGGAGCUUGUUUGGUUCAGUGCCUACGGCUGCCCUGCCAAUUAUUUGGCGUUGACCGAUGGGGUGGGCUGGCGUUUGGAUUGCAGCCAAAUUUUAGAAUCCCAACCAAUAUUUUGGUCACCUGCUGCAACAUGUAGUGAUUCUGGCGCACGCGUGGUGGCGAGAACUUGGCGGCAAAUUCGAUGGCCAAAAAAUUGGCACGCCACUGUUUUGGUAGGGCUCUUGUGGCCAUCAUACAAACAGGCCCUUGGUAAUAGAAAUCCCCCUCCAUUGCCUCUGUUCGAUUUUGGUAGCUAUCCUUGUUGUAGAUCAUAUGGUUGUCAUCUUCAUAUGUCAUAUGAUAUAUAAUUGAUGCAAAAUGCAGCUGACCCAACGUGUAUCUGAAACCAUUUACCUGCAGUUGUGUCAGCUGCAUUUGUCUUCAGAUACACGUUGGGAUAUCUGAAUAUGACUAAAGAUGUUUGAAGAAAUUGAUGGCCAAAACGGUGGUAUCUCUUUGGCCAGAUGACUGGACCAUCUUCCAUGAUCCAGAGGAAGCACCUCUCGCACAGACAUUUAUAUUGUGGACCAUGGGUGUUCAAGAUUAUAUUGCAGUUUGGGCAAUUGUGAGACGUCUAUCACCAUGAAUUGCUUAGAUGAUGCACCAAAGUGGACCGAUUUUGUAUUCAUGGACUUUGAUAUUUUUAUUGAUCUCAUGGUUGUGAACAUCAAUGGUGUAAAGUAUAUGUAUUGCUGGUCAUGGAUAAAUCUUUACCGAGUUUUCAUUUUAUCAUGUACAUUUCAAGUCUUGCUUGCCAAAUUUCCACAAGUUCUUGUUAAAUUGUUUAACUGCCUCAUGUUUGUUCUUCAUUAUUCCAUAUCAAAGUGAUGUCGUCCAAUGCGUCUGUUCCUGUCUGAUGUAGAAAUUGCUUUCCAUGAGGCAUGCCCUGAAGAUGAUACAAUAUCAUUCCUCUUGGUGCCCGUGCUAAUAUAACUCUUAUUUUCAAAAAACAAUUUCUUUGUAUUUGGGAGCAAGAUAUUAGGUAGAAAUCUUUUGGUGAACUGCAGAUUUAAGCGUCUCUGGCGAGUUCUUUGUCGGUCAGCUCCACCUCCCUUAGCGCUUGACCUAGCAGAUGUGUGUGCGUGUGCAGAUCACCCAUGUCUCCACUACGCCACCUACUGUUGGAUGGCACUGGCCGUCCAAGCGUGUGGAACUGGAAGGACUGUCCGUCAUGGCGGCACAGCUCAUCUCGGAGGAGAAAAGACCAAGGUCUUGUAGGUUUCAAGUACUACAUAUAGGAGGAGGCAGGAGUGGCUGCAAUCUUGCUACAAAAUGACACUUACGGAGCUUCUUUACCUAACAUGGCCAAGAAGUCAGCGUAGAGUAUAGCCGGUAGGAUACAUAUCUGCAGAGUGCAUGUAGUGUGUGUGUCAGAUAUACAGUGGGAAAACACGACAAUGCAAGUGUCAGAUCCUAUUCUUGAUGCAAUUUUGCGACUCUAUUUUGGACUCUAAGCAAUUGGUUGAUGUUAAGCUGAAACUCGGAUCAGUCUUGUGGCUCUUCUGUACCUAUAUGCCUAGAUUAUUUACUAAUGGUAUAUGAACUAUAUCUUCCUGUAUAGGAUGA
Molecule: non-coding RNA, 1938 nt
Organism: Triticum urartu
Lineage: Eukaryota; Viridiplantae; Streptophyta; Magnoliopsida; Poales; Poaceae
Source: RefSeq, a predicted model, not a curated record